RNAcentral lists this ribosomal RNA (467 nucleotides) under uncultured bacterium. RNAcentral describes it as "partial 16S ribosomal RNA". It matches the Rfam family "Bacterial small subunit ribosomal RNA", at positions 28 to 507 of the family's 1533-position model. The record is from RNAcentral.
GACGAACGCUGGCGGCGUGCUUAACACAUGCAAGUCGAACGGUGAAGCUCCAGCUUGCUGGAGUGGAUCAGUGGCGAACGGGUGAGUAACACGUGAGCAACCUGCCCCUGACUCUGGAAUAAGCGCUGGAAACGGCGUCUAAUACUGGAUACGAGAAGGGUCCGCAUGGGCACUUUCUGGAAAGUUUUUCGGUUGGGAUGGGCUCGCGGCCUAUCAGCUUGUUGGUGAGGGAAUGGCUCACCAAGGCGACGACGGGUAGCCGGCCUGAGAGGGCGACCGGCCACACUGGGACUGAGACACGGCCCAGACUCCUACGGGAGGCAGCAGUGGGGAAUAUUGCACAAUGGGCGAAAGCCUGAUGCAGCGACGCCGCGUGAGGGAUGACGGCCUUCGGGUUGUAAACCUCUUUCAGCAGGGAAGAAGCGAAAGUGACGGUACCUGCAGAAGAAGCACCGGCUAACUACGUG